AACGAACGCUGGCGGCAUGCCUAACACAUGCAAGUCGAACGAGACCUUCGGGUCUAGUGGCGCACGGGUGCGUAACGCGUGGGAACCUGCCCUUAGGUUCGGAAUAACUCCCCGAAAUGGGUGCUAAUACCGGAUAAUGUCUUCGGACCAAAGAUUUAUCGCCUUUGGAUGGGCCCGCGUUGGAUUAGCUAGUUGGUAGGGUAAAAGCCUACCAAGGCGACGAUCCAUAGCUGGUCUGAGAGGAUGAUCAGCCACACUGGGACUGAGACACGGCCCAGACUACUACGGGAAGCAGCAGUGGGGAAUAUUGGACAAUGGGCGAAAGCCUGAUCCAGCAAUGCCGCGUGAGUGAUGAAGGCCUUAGGGUUGUAAAGCUCUUUUACCCGGGAUGAUAAUGACAGUACCGGGAGAAUAAGCUCCGGCUAACUCCGUG
RNAcentral lists this ribosomal RNA (433 nucleotides) under uncultured bacterium. Its description in RNAcentral is "partial 16S ribosomal RNA". It matches the Rfam family "Bacterial small subunit ribosomal RNA", at positions 29 to 507 of the family's 1533-position model. The record is from RNAcentral.